Molecule: long non-coding RNA, 1461 nt
Filed under: Marmota monax (woodchuck)
Lineage: Eukaryota; Metazoa; Chordata; Mammalia; Rodentia; Sciuridae
Source: RNAcentral
GGAAUUUGGAUGCGUCACUGUGCUCCCUGCUUUCAAGGAUAACAAGCCUUUGCCCCGGGGGUGUUUGGGCAGCUGCAGGCUGGCCCGGUGCUCAGACACCAGCUGGGCCAGGCCCCGGGGGCGGUGGGGUGCCGAGCAAGCUCUCUGGGUGCCUUCCUACUCGCUGGGUGUUCCAGGGAGGUAGUGGGGGUCCCCAAGUCCUGACUCCUCCCAUGGGCCGUCCUCUAGGCUCGCACAGCUGGGGCCUCCCUGCCUCCUAAUUCCUGCCUGGGGGAGCAACUUCCUCCCGCAGCCUCCGCUUCCUGCUCUGCUAAAGGGCUAAAGACUCUACCUCCCCACAGGGCUGCCAGGGAGCCUCAGGCUGCGGGACGCUGCCCUGAAGCCUGGUCUGGCAGGCCCACUUCCUCAGUACCCGCAUCUGCUGCUGACGUGGACGCCCCGCACCUUCCUUGGAGCGCAGGAAGAGCCGCGGACAUGAGGGCCGUACCUUAGGAAUGCUGCAGCCUCAGCGCCGGUCCUGCGGGUCCUGCCGCUCCCUAGAUGGCUUCUCUGUCCAGCCUCCCUGCCCUCUCUCAUCUCAGGCUGAGAAUGGAGCCCCCCGCCCUGGUGCCAGCAGGCGGGACACCUGCUGUGGAGGCUUGGAAGACGUCGGUGGCUUCUGCGAGUGCCCCUCUGCCAGUGCCGCUCCUGAGGGUGUUCCUUUUGACCUCACCCCCCUCUUCCUCCUGUCCUCGGGAGCAGGCUACUGGAUCCAGCCCGAUGGGAGCCCACAGGGACAGCCAGACCAAAGCCACCUCUGGGAGGGACUCAGGUGGUGAUGGUGGUGGUGGACAGCCAGACCUGUUCCCUGGGGAGCAGCAGCAAAGGGUGGACACACAUGUGGUCUGCCCUGCUCCCAGUGUGGACGCCGAGUGGCCCUUGCACAGUUUGCUAAGGUGUCCCAAUAAAGCCCCACUGGCCCCAUCCUGGUGAAGCCUUGCUUCUACCCUCAGGGUCACGGAGAAGAGAGGCCACCUCCUGACGGGAACCGGAGGCCCCGGAGGAGUCUGGGGAUGGGACACUGCUGGCCGCAGGCCCCUGUGUGCCUUCUCUUCUCCUGCUGUGCUGCUCUGCCUUGGGGCUGGGGUCGGGUCAGCUUGGAGGGGUCAGAGGUCAGGCCUGGCCUGGGGUGUGGCCCUGCCACCUUCUCCCCUAGACCUGACCUGUUGAUGGGGUCGGUGGGAACUCGCUGGCCCCUGGCCAGCAUGGGAGCCCUGAGGGUGCUGGGAGGAAGGCCUUCUUCCUUUCCCGUUGCUGGCCCGGAGCCUGUGGGCAGCCCCCAGGGAAGGGUGGGGACAGGACAUGGCGGGUGUGUUGACCUCACAGACUCUCUGCUGGGCCAGCUGUGCUGGUGGACGCACUGGGACCUGUCCCGCUGCCCAGGACAGGUCCCCUGGGAGCUGGGAAGCAGAUCCAAUAAAG